This 430-nucleotide ribosomal RNA is filed under the name uncultured bacterium. RNAcentral's name for it is "partial 16S ribosomal RNA". It matches the Rfam family "Bacterial small subunit ribosomal RNA", at positions 355 to 801 of the family's 1533-position model. The record is from RNAcentral.
UGGGGAAUAUUGCACAAUGGGCGAAAGCCUGAUGCAGCAACGCCGCGUGAGUGAUGAAGGUCUUCGGAUUGUAAAGCUCUGUCUUUUGGGACGAUAAUGACGGUACCAAAGGAGGAAGCCACGGCUAACUACGUGCCAGCAGCCGCGGUAAUACGUAGGUGGCGAGCGUUGUCCGGAUUUACUGGGCGUAAAGGGUGCGUAGGCGGAUGUUUAAGUGAGAUGUGAAAUACCCGGGCUUAACUUGGGUGCUGCAUUUCAAACUGGAUAUCUAGAGUGCAGGAGAGGAGAAUGGAAUUCCUAGUGUAGCGGUGAAAUGCGUAGAGAUUAGGAAGAACACCAGUGGCGAAGGCGAUUCUCUGGACUGUAACUGACGCUGAGGCACGAAAGCGUGGGUAGCAAACAGGAUUAGAUACCCUGGAUAGUCCACGCC